AUUGAACGCUGGCGGCAUGCCUUACACAUGCAAGUCGAACGGCAGCACGGGAGCAAUCCUGGUGGCGAGUGGCGAACGGGUGAGUAAUAUAUCGGAACGUGCCCAGUAGUGGGGGAUAGCCCGGCGAAAGCCGGAUUAAUACCGCAUACGACCUGUGGGUGAAAGCGGGGGAUCGCAAGACCUCGCGCUAUUGGAGCGGCCGAUAUCAGAUUAGCUAGUUGGUGGGGUAAAGGCCCACCAAGGCGACGAUCUGUAGCUGGUCUGAGAGGACGACCAGCCACACUGGAACUGAGAGACGGACCAGACUCCUACGGGAGGCAGCAGUGGGGAAUAUUGGACAAUGGGGGCAACCCUGAUCCAGCGAUGCCGCGUGUGUGAAGAAGGCCUGAGGGUUGUAAAGCACUUUAGUUGGGGAGGAAGAAUCCAGAGAUGAAUAAGCUAUGGAAAUGACGUUACCCAAGAAUAAGCACCGGCUAACUACGUGCCAGCAGCCGCGGUAA
This 500-nucleotide ribosomal RNA is filed under the name uncultured bacterium. RNAcentral describes it as "bacterial SSU rRNA". It matches the Rfam family "Bacterial small subunit ribosomal RNA", at positions 29 to 523 of the family's 1533-position model. The record is from RNAcentral.